CCUCUGCCUCCAGGGAGCACUCCCUGAGGGCUUCCUGGUAGCGGCAGCAGUUGAGCAGAGCCUAGAAGGACCAGCACAGGGCAGCAGUAGAAUGAGGUCAUGCAGGACCACAAAGGAUGCUUCUCUCUCUCUCGGCCCAUGAUUGCUUUCAGUGGGCAAAGUGGCCAUCCUGAGGGCUGGGGGAGUGUGGGGCCUGGACAGGGACGGCUGUGCAGCAGAACCAACUCAGUGUCAUGGGGCAAUUUUGUUUUGAAUAAUUAACUAACAUAGCUGGGGAGCAAAGACAGAAAAAUGUGGAAAAGUACUUUCCAGUGGGGGAAAAUGAGAAUUUGCUGUUUUUCUAGUUGCGUUAGUGCUGACAGGAAUAAAGCUCACAAGUGUCACACGAUGACUGUGUUUCUCAGGGAUGCUCGUGUAUGUAAAGCAUGAAGAGUGGGCAGUGACGGCUCUGCCACCAGCAGGAGUAGGGGCCAGCAUCAACAGUGCCAUCCUGAGGAGUCUCCGGCAGCUACACAUCCCACGGAGCUCGUCCUGUGGCCGGCUGGCUUUCCCAGAAGGGCACAUGUCUUUUGGCCAUUACCCAGAAGGCCAAAGGCUGCCAUCCUGGCAUCUUGUGGGCAAGAGGCAGGGAUUCCACGUGUGGGCCAUGGGACCAGCAACUCCGAACAAACAGCGUUCCUUGGAUCGUCCACAAUACCAUCUCGUGUUCUGCGGCUGUUCGUCAACUUCCUCGAGACGUGUUUGCAUGGAGCGUGAGUUGGGAUUGCUCCCUGGGAGAACAAGUUGCCACACGUAUCAGAAUAUAAAAUCCAGGAACCAGCCCUGCAGAUGCACUCGCAUGCGUGCCGCGAGGCCGUGGAUAUUGAAAUGAAUAUAUUUCAUUUGAAAUAUUCAAAUAAAUAUCCAAAGGCUUUUGACCUCUACUUUGCCUUCUCUUUCACGGACGACACCAGCCAGGAGGUUUCGCCUCUUUCCUCUUGUCCCUGAUGGAAGAAUCCAGAGGAAUACUUCUGUUGCAGCCUCAAGACGACUCAUUACUUAAACCCUAGAAAUAAAAUAGAAUCUCAACACGUG
RNAcentral lists this long non-coding RNA (1074 nucleotides) under Ursus maritimus (polar bear). RNAcentral describes it as "lncRNA (ENSUMAG00000007769.1)". The record is from RNAcentral. Lineage: Eukaryota; Metazoa; Chordata; Mammalia; Carnivora; Ursidae.